UAAGAUGCUUUGAAAACUCACCUGUGGCCAGUUGGUUUCAAGAAGGCAGAUGCCAAAACAAAACUAAUUUCAAAUCUGUCUUGAUUUUUAACUAGCAAACCAAAUUUCAUUAAAUCAAUCAAUUCCUUCAAAAGCUAUACUGCAGGCCAGAUGCAAGGCUGAAAUGGGAGGAUUACUUGAGCCCAGGAGUUCAUGACCAGCCUGGGCAACAUGGUGAAACCCUGUCUCUACAAAUAAACACAAAAAUUAGCUGGGCAUGGUGGCACACGCCUGUUGUCCCAGCUACUCAAGAGGCUGAGGUGGGAGGAUCAAAUGAGCCCAGGUGGUCAAGGCUGCAGUGAGCUGUGAUUGUAUGACUCCACUCUAACCUAGGUGACAGAAAAACUCCGUCUCAAAAAAAAAAAAAAAAGUAAAAAG
Long non-coding RNA from Sapajus apella (tufted capuchin), 417 nucleotides. RefSeq lists it as uncharacterized. NCBI's taxonomy places the organism in Eukaryota, Metazoa, Chordata, Mammalia, Primates, Cebidae. The transcript has 2 exons. The record is from RefSeq and is a predicted model, not a curated record.